RNAcentral lists this ribosomal RNA (956 nucleotides) under Thermobifida fusca. RNAcentral's name for it is "bacterial SSU rRNA". It matches the Rfam family "Bacterial small subunit ribosomal RNA", at positions 1 to 953 of the family's 1533-position model. Lineage: Bacteria; Bacillati; Actinomycetota; Actinomycetes; Streptosporangiales; Nocardiopsidaceae. The record is from RNAcentral.
AUGGAGAGUUUGAUCCUGGCUCAGGACGAACGCUGGCGGCGUGCCUAAUACAUGCAAGUCGAGCGGGGAGACUCGAUAUGGAGGCUUCGGCCGAAGUGUUGAGGAUCCCAGCGGCGGACGGGUGAGUAACGCGUGGGUAACCUACCCUAUCGCCCGGGAUAACCCUCGGAAACGGGGGCUAAUACCGGAUGCGGUCACCGGGCCGCAUGGCCGGGUGACGAAAGGGCGAAGCCCGCGAUAGGAUGGGCCCGCGUCCCAUUAGCUAGUUGGUGGGGUAACGGCCCACCAAGGCGACGAUGGGUAGCCGGCCUGAGAGGGUGGACGGCCACACUGGGACUGAGACACGGCCCAGACUCCUACGGGAGGCAGCAGUAGGGAAUCUUCGGCAAUGGGCGAAAGCCUGACCGAGCGACGCCGCGUGGGGGAUGAAGGCCUUCGGGUCGUAAACCCCUGUCCUUGGGGACGAAGUGCUGACGGUACCCAAGGAGGAAGCCCCGGCUAACUACGUGCCAGCAGCCGCGGUAAAACGUAGGGGGCGAGCGUUGUCCGGAAUCACUGGGCGUAAAGGGUGCGUAGGCGGCCGCUUAAGUCCUGUGUGAAAGGCUCCGGCUUAACCGGAGACGGCCAUGGGAAACUGGGCGGCUUGAGUGCCGGAGAGGGUGGCGGAAUUCCCGGUGUAGCGGUGAAAUGCGUAGAGAUCGGGAGGAACACCAGUGGCGAAGGCGGCCACCUGGACGGUAACUGACGCUGAGGCACGACAGCUGGGGGAGCAAACAGGAUUAGAUACCCUGGUAGUCCCAGCCGUAAACGAUGAGUGCUAGGUGUUGCGGGUAUCGACCCCUGCAGUGCCGUAGUUAACGCAAUAAGCACUCCGCCUGGGGAGUACGGCCGCAAGGCUGAAACUCAAAGGAAUUGACGGGGGCCCGCACAAGCGGUGGAGCAUGUGGUUUAAUUCG